Megalobrama amblycephala (Wuchang bream) is the source of this 1495-nucleotide long non-coding RNA. RefSeq lists it as uncharacterized. The transcript has 4 exons. NCBI's taxonomy places the organism in Eukaryota, Metazoa, Chordata, Actinopteri, Cypriniformes, Xenocyprididae. The record is from RefSeq and is a predicted model, not a curated record.
CUUACCCUUGCAGGUUUUGGGCGGUUCAGGAGGGCUGGAUGUACUGUUUUUUUUCUUCUUGAUGACCGCCACACUCUUUUUGUCAAAUGUCAGGGGGCUGUACUGUGAUUCAGUGAUGUGAUGGAGAAAUUACAUCACCCUGCUCACCCUGGGGUGGUUUCCUCCUUAGACUUGGACUUCUUGAGCUUUUUUGGGUUGCUGGUAGCAGCUUGAGAAAAUCCCCAGCUUUCAUCAUUCCAGCCGCCCUCAUGAUCGGACACACUGCCUCGAAUGGAACCUCUUUUCCCUAGAAAACAGAUCAGCAGCAUUUUUCAUUUACUGUAUCAAAUGUUUUGAGUUUAAAUAUAAAUCAUGAGAUAAUGGUCAACUGAAUCAUAUUAAGUAUUAUUUUAGUUUUAUGUUUGUUGCUUUAUAGAUUGUAAUUUUUAUUUUCAUUUGAGCAUCUUAACCUGUACAGCACUUUGGUCAACCUUGGGUUGUUUUUAAAUGUGCUUUAUAAAUAAAUAAUGAAAUGAAGUGAAAAUUCUAAAUGAUAUUCGGCAUGUCGUUCAACGUCAUUGAAAUUGUACUUCAACCUUACAGCGGGAGUAACAUUGGAAAGCACUUCUUUAGAAAUGAUAGAAAGCACAAUUUAAAGACUUUUUAUAGUGUUGUCAUUUCUGCAGAAUAACACCAAUGAGGAAGUAUGUUUUUUCCAUGCUACUAUUUGUUACACAUUAUCAGCUGGAACUAGUGGGAAAUGAGUUUCAAAUCCAGUCUCUAACUAACAGGAAAGGAACCUGUGGGAGGUGUGUGUGCGUUACCUCUGUCUACAUUUGCUCUCAGUGAUGUGAGCAUCCCUUCGGACACUAGAGUCUUAUAAAGUGCUCCUUUACAGCUUCGCUCAGACUUCCUGGACCCACAGUUCUCUGGCUUAACCUCCAGGUCUUUAUCUUCCUGUCUGGUUUGAGGUGGUUUGGUGUCUGUGUCUUUCUCCUCCAGUUCUGUUGGCUGCAGAGGAGAGCAGUGUGGUUCCAUGUCCUCCACGCCACUAGGGGGCUCCACCUUCAGACUUUUUCUUCUUCACAGCUGGAGACUGGUCCGCAGUGGGGCUGCUUUCACUCUCUGAGGGACGAGCUUUCUUCCUGGGCGUCUCUUCUGAGCCCCAAGCACCUUUUGCGACUGCUUCAAUGGUGAACAUCACGCUGUCCAGCAUCUUACAAGGGCUGAUGUCAGAUGGGGUGGUGUCCGUAGGGGAGGAUGAGGUGGAGCCGGAGCCAGAGGUAGAGGAUGACGAUGUGGGGAGAGGAAGUUCGGGAGCGUCCCCCUGCUCUUCGUGGUCUGGGAUGGCUGUGCUAAUUGAGCUGUGCUGAGCACAGAGAGAAGAGGAACCGCCAGAGGGCUGGGAGGAUCGAGCUUCCAUUUUCUCAGCCUCAGAAGCCAAACACAUCUAUAUAAACACAUAAGGACAUCAGGUUAUGGAGCUUUGCAAUAAAAAUGACCUCUGGCACAGAUA